GAUAGCUCAAUAGGUAGAGCAGCGAGCUUCUAACUCGUCGGUUCAAGGUUCAAGUCCUUG
This 60-nucleotide transfer RNA is filed under the name Goniomonas pacifica. It matches the Rfam family "tRNA", at positions 8 to 63 of the family's 71-position model. From Rfam's summary of the family: Transfer RNA (tRNA) molecules are approximately 80 nucleotides in length. Their secondary structure includes four short double-helical elements and three loops (D, anti-codon, and T loops). The record is from RNAcentral. Lineage: Eukaryota; Cryptophyceae; Goniomonadida; Goniomonadaceae.